This 262-nucleotide unclassified non-coding RNA is filed under the name plant metagenome. Its description in RNAcentral is "partial contains small subunit ribosomal RNA, internal transcribed spacer 1, and 5.8S ribosomal RNA". The record is from RNAcentral.
UUUCCGUAGGUGAACCUGCGGAAGGAUCAUUAUUGUAUAACCGAGGUGCGAGGGCUGUCGCUGACCCGAAAGGUCGUGCACGCCCGAGUGUCCCACACACAUCCAUCUCACCCCUAUGUGCACCACCGCGUGGGUCCCCCUUUGGCUUGUUCGGAGGGGGGCUUACGUUUUCACACAAACUUUGUAUGCAGUGUAGAAUGUAUUUUUUGCUUUUGCGAUCACGCAAUCAAUACAACUUUCAACAACGGAUCUCUUGGCUCUC